Long non-coding RNA from Taeniopygia guttata (zebra finch), 4072 nucleotides. Lineage: Eukaryota; Metazoa; Chordata; Aves; Passeriformes; Estrildidae. The record is from Ensembl.
AAGUAUUCAUAGAAAUGAAGAUUGAAGCUGCAUUUCCUUACUGAACUGUAAAAGUGUUCUGCAAUAGAUAGUCAGUUCCUGACCUUGCAGAGUGUUCCAGUAGUACUUCGUUAGUACCUGUAAAUAAGUGCUUGCCACCAGAUUCAGAAGUAGGAAGAAGAAUGCCAGUCAAGAAGAAAGUGAUGGAAAGAACUAAUCUAUGAUGAAGACCAGAUUCCAGUUUUGGAGCCCUGCUUGUGAUUCACACAGAGAUAGCAGGAACCCCCACAUCUGGGUGCCUGGUUGCACGUGUGCUUCUAGACUAACCCUGUCAUCCUUGCACAUCUCGCUGUGUCUAGGCAGUCAGAGAUAUGAAUGCUGCCCUCGUCCCACUUUGCAUCUCUCAAAGGGAGAGGGAUUGUACCUGUAGCUGGAUGAAACCUGUGGGCUGCUUUUAAUACCAUCCUGACUCGCCCCACCUUGUUGCCCACCUUGUUUAUAAAGAUGUGCUGAUUCUGCCAUGGAAUAACUUUUUGCAUAUUUCAUUUUAUAUUAAAAAAUGCCUUCUAGGACAUGUUUUAUUAAGCACAUCAAUGUCAAGAAUUAAAACAUGCCAAUCUGAAUCCAUGUGGACAACUUCUGGGCCAUUUAGAAGAAUCUGACAGAUGUGCUCUAUGAAAUGCUGGAUUUUGUAGAGGUAAUGCUGGCUUUGUGGCUGGUCUGUUGAAAGGAAGGGGUCUAAGAACAACUCAGCAGGAACUAUUAAAGUUCAUAAAGGACCAGACAAAGCUAGCUCCCAUUCAUUUUUCAAACUGGCAGCUUCUUUUUAGCUAACAAAAUUUAAAUUUAGGAUCAUAAUUUUUGUGCUCAAAAAUCUCAAAUGUGGUUUCACUCUUCUUACAUCUUACAGCAGCAAAUCCAACAUGUAUUGGAAAUUUUCUUUCUCUUUUGCUUGUAACAGGUAAUUGGUAUUACAAGAUUUUUAUCUUUUCAGUUGCUGAAUAGGAAUUCUCAAAUAAGUAUGUGGCUAAAAGGCUACUUCCUUCACUCCAAGUUUUGUUCAACUACCUCUCGGUUUUUACACUUAAUUUCAGUAUGGGAGCAAUGCAAAUUUUAGUUAUUUUUACAGACUGUGGAAAGCAUAAUUUUAGAUUUCCAAGAGUUAAACAAACAAGUGUCAGAAAAUGACUAUCUAAACCAUGCCAAUUUUCACCACAAAGCUUUGAUUUAAAGAUGUCACUGCUUUUAUGGCAGUGAGCUUUUUCCAGGGCGACAUUGUUUCCACUGUGAGAAACAGUGAAGUAUUUUGCCUACAAAAGGACUAAAGGAGCAAGCAUUAUACAGAACAAGCCUUUGUUAUGUGCAUGCACACUGCAAAACUAAGUGGGCUCUGGACUAGGAAUAGUGAAAUUUAUGCUCUUUUUCAGUCCUUCUGUUAUUCUGGUACUUCUCAGACGUUUAAUGUAGAUCCAUCCCAUUUUAGUUGCCUCACCUAGGUAGGAUGCCCAGCUUUUUGUCCCGGAGUGUUGCUUUGAUCAGCAGAGAGAGAGAUCCACCUCCAAAGGGCAUUUUAACACACCUAAGAUCUGCAUUGCAUUCUGGACAAUUGUCAUUUUCUCUCUCCCCAUAGACAAAACACAGGGUAACCACACUAUAACUCCCUUACCUCAGGUUGAUGAUGUUUAAUUCUCUCCUAUAAAUUUUAGUGGCAAAACAUCUCCUUAUCCGAGAUAUUUAUGAGAGCUGACACUGUGUAUUCUGUGAGUGCUAUAAAUUAACAGUAUUCAUUAAUUUGGGGGGGGGAAAUGGUUAUAAAUUAUUGUACUAUUAGUCACUGGAAUUGGAAGCAACUGUAGUGUUGAUACAAGCACAAGAGGCAGCUGUGCAUCCUCUCCUCCAUUCCUAUUAAGUGCAUAUUGCACUCAGUUGAAGCAAUGGUGUCUUGCAUUAUAAGCAUAAUCUUUUUCCUUCUCAUGCUCUCUUCUUUCCUUCCAAAUUUGUUCCAGAUGGCCAAGCUAGAUGUCAGAGGGUAACCAUGGAGAAAAAGCCAAAUUUGUAACUAGUGGCCAGUGUGAUAAAAGAUGAUUUUGCAGUCCCUGCUUCAGCAAAAUGAGAAAAUCUGCCUUACUCAAAUAUGCUUCUGUGGUCAGGUCAUACCAGGUUUCUGCAUCUUAGAUGUAUUUAAGGUCUGUUUCACUGUGGUAUCUUGUAUUUACUGCAAAUUAACACGGUGCUGAACAACAGCUUUAUAAAAAUAGAAAUAAAGGUCAUGUUUUCUCCUGCCAUAUUCAUCCCAGAAAGAGCCAGCAAGACUGUCCUGACCUGAUGAGUGAUGGCAGUAGUAAUCAACAUACAAAAUAUGUGAAGAAAACUUUGCUCUUUAUUUGAUAUGGUCCAGAAGAGAUUUUGGUGGCAGAACUUUGCCAGAGCAAGUCAGUGCAAUUCUCCCUAUUCACUUUUGGGCUGAAGAGGUUAAUGCUUCUUUCAAAACAUAUUUAUCAGGGAAUUGAAUCAUGUAGAAUUCCCUGGAAAGGGGGAAUCUGGACAGUUUACAGUUUCACAUACGGAAACCAAUCUUUUCUGAUGCUCUUCUCUCUCCUGACUGUGUGGGCAUAUCUCGCAUCAUGCUGUAGUGGAAUAAUUCCAGGCUCCUUCUGGUUCAGAUCUAGGUAUUGUGCACUAUCUUAACACUGCCUUGCAGAUGGAUGUCUGCUAAGCUGUGCUUUUAACCAAAAAACCCCAACCAAACAACCCCAACCCAGGGUUUGCAAAUCUACAGAUCCAGUUGUUCAAUGUCCAAAAUGUAACAUUUAUUUUAUGUUGUUACCUGAAGGUGAAUGUUGGGUUUUUUUAAUUGACUCGGAGAUUCUAGUAUAAUACAAAGGUUUUCAAAUUAAAAAUUCCAACAUGGAUGUGAGAAAAUGUAAGACCAUAAUGCCUUUGCUAAUCAAUAAAGGUAAUUUGAUCUCAUUCCAUUUUUUUUUGCAUUACUAGAAAGCAUUUGUGUUAUUGAAUUGUUUUCUUUCAUGUAAUAUAAUGAUUCUUUUGUAUGAGUUUGGAAGUUAUUUAUUCCUGAACAGGCAUCUUUUUCUUAGUUUUCUGUCUCACUCCAAUUUUCACAUUUAUGUUAAUUUUGAUACUGAAUGUUCUUUUAAAGAUAAAAAAAUACAUAGCUGCUGUACUAAGCGUGCAACUCCUGGUUUUUACUCUUGCAAGUAUACAUCAAGUUCCACUAGUUUUGUGUCUUGCAUUCAAUUAGAUUGUAAGCUCUUCAAAGCAGGGCACUCUAAUAAUUUUGCAUUGUUAAGAUGUCAAUUUACAUUUAUUCAGCUGUAUAAAUAAGAGGUUUUCAUUUGGUGCAAUGUCAUUUUGAGGGUUUGUGGCUUCAUUUUUCAUUCUGUCUUCAUAUUGCAUUGUUGAUUUAACAUUAACAUUUUUACACCUAGAUUUUAACAUUGUGACACUUGAAAGGCAGAAACAAGAAGGUCAGGUGAAGCUACUUGUAAUUGCAGGGUGUCUGGUUUUGGAAGGAGUCUCAAGGCCCCAGAAUCUGCUCAUUCUGUUGUCUGAAAUGCAAACCAGUCACCUAGCCGGGUCACCAAACUGGAGCCAGGUCGCCAAACUGGAGCAAGGAUUGUUAAUGAACAGGUCCCACAUUGCCUUCAACAUACCCGGGAAAAGAGAACUCCUUGGAAAAAAGGAAUGGCCCUGGAAGGAAUGAGCAGCUGAUACCAGCAGUUGCUAAAAUCCUUUUGUGGUCCCCUGAGGAGAAGUGAUGUGGUGGGAAGAAUUUGAGUCCCAGAGUGAGCCCCUGGUAUGAACUGGGCUCUUACUUAUGGUGAAGUCUGAUACCUAAGAUUAACAGGUUAUACACUAAAUACUGAGCAUUUUUUUAGUAUUUAAUUGUAGUUUACAGGCAGGGAUGAGUAGAGAUGACAUAUCUAUGGGAUUGCACGGGUCAGAUAGUCAUCUAGGGGCUCUGAAGCAAGAAUGUAGCUUGGUUUUUCAGGAUGCUUUCUGAUAAACAGAAAUGUUAAAGUAAAGUUUGUGAGUUUAUGCUGAGCCACUUCCUGAUCUUUAUAUAAUUAUACUA